This 459-nucleotide ribosomal RNA is filed under the name uncultured bacterium. RNAcentral's name for it is "partial 16S ribosomal RNA". It matches the Rfam family "Bacterial small subunit ribosomal RNA", at positions 338 to 795 of the family's 1533-position model. The record is from RNAcentral.
CCUACGGGUGGCAGCAGUGAGGAAUAUUGGUCAAUGGGCGGGAGCCUGAACCAGCCAAGCCGCGUGAGGGAAGACGGCACAGCGUAUUGUAAACCUCUUUUGUCAGGGAACAAAGGCGGGGACUAGUCCCCGGAUGCGGGUACCUUAAGAAAAAGCAUCGGCUAACUCCGUGCCAGCAGCCGCGGUAAUACGGAGGAUGCGAGCGUUAUCCGGAUUUAUUGGGUUUAAAGGGUGCGCAGGCGGCCUGUUAAGUCAGCGGUAAAAGCCCGGGGCUCAACCCCGGCGAGCCGUUGAAACUGGCGGGCUGGAGUUGGAGAGAAGUACGCGGAAUGCGCGGUGUAGCGGUGAAAUGCUUAGAUAUCGCGCAGAACCCCGAUUGCGAAGGCAGCGUACCGGCUCCACACUGACGCUGAGGCACGAAAGCGUGGGUAUCGAACAGGAUUAGAUACCCUAGUAGUC